CAGUUGGUGAAUGGCUCGGCUCGGAAGCCGAAGAAGGGCGUGCCAAGCUGCGAUAAGCCCGGGGGAGCCGCACGGAGGCUAAGAACCCGGGAUUCCUCAAUGGGAACUCCUCUUCGCAAUUGCUUUGCGCAAUGGGGAACACCGAGAACUGAAACAUCUCAGUAUCGGUAGGAAAAGAAAACGAAUGUGAUGUCGUUAGUAACCGCGAGUGGACGCGACACAGCCCAAACCGAAGCCCUCACGGGCAAUGUGGUGUGUGGGCUGGCACUCAUCGGCCGACCGUCUGCGAGAAGUCCCCUGGAAAGGGGCGUGAGACAGGGUGAUAACCCCGUACCGCAGACCAGUACGUCGUGCGCCAGUUCCGGAGUAGCGGGGGUUGGAAAUCCCUCGUGAACGAGGCAGGCAUCGACUGCCAAGGCUAAACACUCUCCGAGACCGAUAGCGAACAAGUAGCGUGAGCGAACGCUGCAAAGUACCCUCCAACGGGAGGUGAAAUAGAGCCUGAAAUCAACUGGUUAUGGAGCGACGGGGCACAAAAGGCCUUGUGGAGAACGACAGAGGGGCGACCCUCCAGUAGGACCCACGAGGAGCCGGUGUUCCGUCGUACGUUUUGAAAAACGAACCAGGGAGUGUGUCUGUAUGGCGAGUCUAACCCGAUCAUCGGGGAAGGCAUAGGGAAACCGACAUGGCCGCAGUGCUUUGCACCAGGGCCGCCGUCUUCAAGGGCGGGGAGUCAUUCGGACACGACCCGAAUCCGGACGAUCUACGCGUGGGCAAGGUGAAGCGUGGCGAAAGCUACGUGGAGGCCUGCCAGGGAUGGUGUCCUACAAUACCCUCCCGUGACCCAUGUGUAGGGGUGAAAGGCCCAUCGAGUCCGGCAACAGCUGGUUCCGACCGAAACAUGUCGAAGCAUGACCUCUGCUGAGGUAGUCUGUGGGGUAGAGCGACUGAUUGCCGUGUCCGCCUCCGAGAGGAGUCGGCGCGGCUGUCAAACUCCGAACCUACAGACGCCGUCGAUGCAGGGAGUCCGGUGUGCGGAGUAAGUCUGUGCACCAAAAGGGAGACAACCCAGAGUUAGGUUAAGGUCCCCAAGUGUGGAUUAAGUGCGAUCAAAGGUGGUCCCGAGCCCCAGACAGCCGGGAGGUGAGCUUAGAAGCAGCUACCCUCCAAGAAAAGCGUAACAGCUUACCGGCCGAGGUUCGGGGCGCCCAAAAUGAUCGGGGCUCAAAUCCACCACCGAGACCUGACCACACCCGUCACAGGGUGAUUGCGUAGGUCGGCGCUCCGCGCGGGUGGAAGUACGGGCGAGAGUUCGUAUGGACCGCGUGGUGACGCAAAUCCUGGUCGUAGUAGCAGCGAAAGUCGGGUUGAAAUCCUGACGGCCGAAAGGGCAAGGGUUCCUCGGCACUGUUCGACAGCCGAGGGUUAGCCGGUCCUAAGAUCCGCCGUAAUUCGAACGGAUCAAAUGGGAAACUGGUUAAUAUUCCAGUGCCACCAUACAUUCAACGUCGACGCCUUGGGGUAGACUGAGCCGGGCACUCGCCCGGUCGAACCGUCGAAAUCCGUGGAAGCCGUAAUGGCACGAAGCGGACGAAUGGCGGGAUAGCGCAAGUCAGUCCAACCUAGGGCCCGUGAAAAGACAGUAUGGUGUCCGUACCGAGAACCGACACAGGUGCCCAGGCGGAGUAAGCCAAGGCCUGUCGGGAAUAACCGACGUUAGGGAAUUCGGCAAAUUGGCCCCGUAAGUUCGCGAUAAGGGGUGCCUGCCUCGGAAAGAGGCAGGUCGCAGUGACCUGGACGCUCCGACUGUCUAGUAACAACAUAGGUGACCGCAAAUGCGCAAGCACUCGUACGGUCACUGAAUCCUGCCCAGUGCGGGUAUCUGAACACCCAUUACAAUGGGACGAAGGACCCGUCAACGGCGGGGGUAACUAUGACCCUCUUAAGGUAGCGUAGUACCUUGCCGCUUCAGUAGCGGCUUGCAUGAAUGGAUUAACGAGAGCGUCGCUGUCCCAACGUUGGGCCCGGUGAACCGUACGUUCCAGUGCGGAGUCUGGAGACCCCCAGGGGGAAGCGAAGACCCUAUGGAGCUUUACUGCAGGCUGUCGCUGGGACGUGGUCGCUGAUGUGCAGGGUAGGUAGAAGACAUUACACAGGUGCGUGCGCUAGCACGUCGCCGAGUCGCCCAUGAAACACUACCCGUCAGUGACUGCGACCCUCACUCCGGGAGGAGGACACCGGUAGCCGGGCAGUUUGACUGGGGCGGUACGCGCUUGAAAAGAUAUCGAGCGCGCCCCAAGGCCAUCUCAUCCGGGACAGAGAUCCGGAGAAGAGCGCAAGAGCAAAAGAUGGCUUGACAGUGUUCUUCCCAACGAGGAACGCUGACGUGAAAGCGUGGUCUAGCGAACUCAUUUGCCCGCUUGAUGCGGGCAAUGAAUGACAGAAAAGCUACCCUAGGGAUAACAGAGUUGUCGCCGGCAAGAGUACAUAUCGACCCGGCGGUUUGCUACCUCGAUGUCGGUUCCCUCCAUCCUGCCCGUGCAGAAGCGGGCAAGGGUGAGGUUGUUCGCCUAUUAAAGGAGGUCGUGAGCUGGGUUUAGACCGUCGUGAGACAGGUCGGCUGCUAUCUACUGGGGGUGUCAUGGUACCUGAUGGGAACGCUCGUAUAGUACGAGAGGAACUACGGGUGGUGGCCACUGGUGUACCGGUCGUCCGAGAGGGCGUUGCCGGGCAGCCACGCCACAUGGGGUAAGAGCUGAACGCAUCUAAGCUCGAAACCCUCCCAAAAAAGAGGUACCUCUGAGACCACUCGUCUAAGACGAGAUCGAUAGACUCGGGGUGUACGCACCGAG
Molecule: ribosomal RNA, 2852 nt
Filed under: Halococcoides cellulosivorans
Lineage: Archaea; Methanobacteriati; Methanobacteriota; Halobacteria; Halobacteriales; Haloarculaceae
Description: bacterial LSU rRNA
Rfam family: Archaeal large subunit ribosomal RNA
Source: RNAcentral